RNAcentral lists this unclassified non-coding RNA (400 nucleotides) under uncultured bacterium. RNAcentral describes it as "contains 16S-23S intergenic spacer region". The record is from RNAcentral.
ACAACAAAAUCGAUUGCAUAGCCACCAACGGGAACUUGGGGGCGGAUGCGGUAACCCAAAUCGAGCAGGCAGCGGCCGAAAUCUCGCUCGAAGUCAGAUUGGCAAAGCUCAAGCACCUCCUUCGGCCGGAUCAUGUUGCCCUUCAUCGGGGCGCGGAAAUGCUCGAUCAAUGCCAGUUUCAAAUCGCCGGGUUUGAGGUCACUCGCCGCCACUGAACGUACGAGGACCAAUCGAUCACGCGCACGAGAGGCUGCUACGUUGAAACGCUGCUCGUAUACGCGCGAGGUCUGCGAGAUGGCCGACUCGGGACAUGCGACCAUCGAGAGGAAUACGAUGUCGCGUUCCUGACCUUGGAAGGUCGCAGCGUUACCGCACAUAAUCCGAUGAUUCUCGAUGGCCU